RNAcentral lists this ribosomal RNA (405 nucleotides) under uncultured Alphaproteobacteria bacterium. Its description in RNAcentral is "bacterial SSU rRNA". It matches the Rfam family "Bacterial small subunit ribosomal RNA", at positions 354 to 776 of the family's 1533-position model. The record is from RNAcentral. Lineage: Bacteria; Pseudomonadati; Pseudomonadota; Alphaproteobacteria.
GUGGGGAAUCUUAGACAAUGGGCGCAAGCCUGAUCUAGCCAUGCCGCGUGGGUGAUGAAGGCCUUAGGGUCGUAAAGCCCUUUCGCCGGGGAAGAUAAUGACGGUACCCGGUAAAGAAACCCCGGCUAACUCCGUGCCAGCAGCCGCGGUAAUACGGAGGGGGUUAGCGUUGUUCGGAAUGACUGGGCGUAAAGCGCGCGUAGGCGGAUCGGAAAGUUGGGGGUGAAAUCCCGGGGCUCAACCCCGGAAUGGCCUUCAAAACUCCCGGUCUUGAGUUCGAGAGAGGUGAGUGGAAUUCCGAGUGUAGAGGUGAAAUUCGUAGAUAUUCGGAGGAACACCAGUGGCGAAGGCGGCUCACUGGCUCGAUACUGACGCUGAGGUGCGAAAGCGUGGGGAGCAAACAGG